CGCCGCUGGGGUUACCCGACCAACUCCUCAAACCCUCCUCUCCCUCUCUCGCUCGUGACCCCAAGCACCGCCGCCGACCAACUCCGACUCCGACCAACUCCGACUCCGACCUCCUCCUCCAACUCCGGAUCCGACCCCGAAAAUCACCCCAGCGGCCACUCUCUCUCACUUGGAUCCAAAGGGAGCUUGAAUCAAAACUGUUUGUAGAUAUGCGGAUGCAACGGUGCUGUAUUCAGAAAAAUCACCUGAUCAACAAAACCCAUCAAACAAAACCCACAUAUAUGGGUUUAUGUGAAGAAAUUCAGCAAUCAUCCAAAGAGGGCUGUAUCUUUAAUGUAUCCAAAGUUUGAUCCGUUGAUAUCUCCCUCUGUGUUAUGGUUGUCUUAAUUUAUCCAAAGAGGGCUGUAUCUUUAAUGUAUCCAAAGUUUGAUCCGUUGAUAUCUCCCUCUGUGUUAUGGUUGUCUUAAUUUAUCCAAAGAGGGCUGUAUCUUUAAUGUAUCCAAAGUUUGAUCCGUUGAUAUCUCCCUCUGUGUUAUGGUUGUCUUAAUUUAUCCAAAGAGGGCUGUAUCUUUAAUGUAUCCAAAGUUUAAUGUAUCCAAAGAGGGUUUUAUCU
Long non-coding RNA from Asparagus officinalis (garden asparagus), 613 nucleotides. RefSeq lists it as uncharacterized. The transcript has 3 exons. NCBI's taxonomy places the organism in Eukaryota, Viridiplantae, Streptophyta, Magnoliopsida, Asparagales, Asparagaceae. The record is from RefSeq and is a predicted model, not a curated record.